UGGGGAAUAUUGCACAAUGUGCGCAAGCCUGAUGCAGCCAUGCCGCGUGUGUGAAGAAGGCCUUCGGGUUGUAAAGCACUUUCAGCGGGGAGGAAGGCGGUGAGGUUAAUAACCUCAUCGAUUGACGUUACCCGCAGAAGAAGCACCGGCUAACUCCGUGCCAGCAGCCGCGGUAAUACGGAGGGUGCAAGCGUUAAUCGGAAUUACUGGGCGUAAAGCGCACGCAGGCGGUCUGUCAAGUCGGAUGUGAAAUCCCCGGGCUCAACCUGGGAACUGCAUUCGAAACUGGCAAGCUAGAGUCUUGUAGAGGGGGGUAGAAUUCCAGGUGGAGCGGUGAAAUGCGUAGAGAUCUGGAGAGAUAGCGGUGGCGAAGGCGGCCCGCUGGACAAAGAAUGAAGCUCAGGUGCGAGAGCGUGAGGAGCAAACAGG
RNAcentral lists this ribosomal RNA (429 nucleotides) under Chloroflexota bacterium. RNAcentral's name for it is "Chloroflexi bacterium partial 16S ribosomal RNA". It matches the Rfam family "Bacterial small subunit ribosomal RNA", at positions 355 to 776 of the family's 1533-position model. The record is from RNAcentral. Lineage: Bacteria; Bacillati; Chloroflexota.